This is a long non-coding RNA of Boleophthalmus pectinirostris (great blue-spotted mudskipper), 550 nucleotides long. RefSeq lists it as uncharacterized. The record is from RefSeq and is a predicted model, not a curated record. NCBI's taxonomy places the organism in Eukaryota, Metazoa, Chordata, Actinopteri, Gobiiformes, Gobiidae. The transcript is spliced from 3 exons.
UUUCUUUGAAAUGACAUAUGUUUUGGAUAAUUUACAAACUUUUAUUCCUUUUCAGUUACUCAGGAUGGACCUACUACUACCAGAAUAAUAAAGAAAUGUGCAGACUCCUCGCUGUGUCCAGUUGCAGACACACAGACAUACUCCUUAAACACUGGAUCUGGUCAAGUGUUUGCACAAGCCACCUGUUGUAACAAAACAAACUGCAACAAAAAUACCCCACCACCGCCGACCGCCCCUGGACCUGGCUCCCUGCGAUGUCUGACCUGUGAUCCUCUGACAGGCCCAUGCAAUACUUCUAUACAAUGUAACACACUGGAGACCAACUGCUUCAUAACAACAGCAACAACACCUUCAUCGAUCCCAGUCCACGGCUGUGCCUCACCAAACACGUGCUCCAACUCUGUUCUGAACACACUUCUACCUGAACUGUCCCCUUAUGAAACUGUGACUGGACCAAGCUCCUGCUGCACAACUGAUGAUUGUAACAAAUUAACAACUACAAUUACAACUGCACCAACUACAACUACUACUACACCAACUACAACUACUA